UCCCCCCCCUUUUUUUUUCAAAACAUGGUUUUUUUGUUUAUAUAAAAGAUCUAACCUGCCCUAUGAUUAAUUAAAUGGCUGCAGUAUAUUGACUGUACAAAGGUAGCAUAAUCAUUUGUCUUUUAAUUGAAGGCUAGUAUGAAUGGUUGGAUGAAAAAUAUACUUUCUUAUUUUUAUAUUAAAAAUUUAAUUUUCUAGUCAAAAAUCUGGAAUAAUUUUAAAGGACGAGAAGACCCUAUAGAACUUUAUUAUCAUUACUUAUGAUUUUUAUAGAUUAUUUUAAAGUAAUAAGUUUUUGUUAAUUUUGUUGGGGUGACAAAAAAAAUAUUAUAACUUUUUUUAUUAUUUACAUUUAUUAAUGUUAUUUUGAUCCUAUAUUAUGGAUUAUAAGAUUAAGUUACCUUAGGGAUAACAGCGUUAUUUUCUUGGAGAGUACAUAUCGAUAAGGAAGUUUGCGACCUCGAUGUUGGAUUAAAAUUAGUCUCAGGAGCAGAAUAUUGUGGACUAGGUCUGUUCGACCUUUAAAUUUUUACAUGAUCUAGGGU
This 545-nucleotide ribosomal RNA is filed under the name Stenodema calcarata. Its description in RNAcentral is "partial small subunit ribosomal RNA". It matches the Rfam family "Archaeal large subunit ribosomal RNA", at positions 1894 to 2680 of the family's 2987-position model. Lineage: Eukaryota; Metazoa; Arthropoda; Insecta; Hemiptera; Miridae. The record is from RNAcentral.